RNAcentral lists this ribosomal RNA (1957 nucleotides) under Francisella tularensis. RNAcentral's name for it is "partial 23S ribosomal RNA". It matches the Rfam family "Bacterial large subunit ribosomal RNA", at positions 581 to 2533 of the family's 2925-position model. The record is from RNAcentral. Lineage: Bacteria; Pseudomonadati; Pseudomonadota; Gammaproteobacteria; Thiotrichales; Francisellaceae.
AUGAUUUAGUCAUGUGACUGCGUACCUUUUGUAUAAUGGGUCAGCGAGUUAUUUUUAGUGGCGAGGAUAACUGAAUAAGGGAUCCGUAGCGAAAGCGAGUUUUAAUAGGGCGACUAGUCGCUAGGAGUAGACCCGAAACCGGCGCGAUCUAUCCAUGGCCAGGUUGAAGAUUAGGUAGUACUAAUUGGAGGACCGAACCCAAUACUGUUGCAAAAGUAUGGGAUGAGCUGUGGAUCGGAGUGAAAGGCUAAUCAAGCACGGAGAUAGCUGGUUCUCCCCGAAAACUAUUUAGGUAGUGCCUCGUGUAUAACUCAUUGGGGUAAAGCACUGUUUCGACAAUGGGGGUUUUACGACCUUACUGACUCGAUGCAAACUCAGAAUACGAUGAAGUUCGAUCACGGGAGACACACUGCGGGUGCUAAGGUCCGCAGUGGAAAGGGAAACAGCCCAGACCGCCAACUAAGGUCCCAAAGUCAUAGCUAAGUGGGAAACGAAGUGGGAAGGCCCAGACAGCCAGGAGGUUGGCUUAGAAGCAGCCACCCUUUAAAGAAAGCGUAAUAGCUCACUGGUCGAGUCGGCCUGCACGUAAGAUUUAACGGGGCUAAGCUAUGCACUGAAGUUGCGGAAUAUAUUUAGUAUAUUGGUAGGGGAGCGUUCUGUAAGCCGAUGAAGGUGAAUUGAGAAGUUUGCUGGAGGUAUCAGAAGUGCGAAUGCUGACAUGAGUAACGUAAAAUAAGUGAGAUUCUUAUUGGCCGAAAACCCAAGGGUUCCUACGCAAUGUUAAUCAACGUAGGGUAAGCCGGCCCCUAAGGCGUAGCUGAAGAGUGAAGUCGAUGGGAAACAGGUUAAUAUUCCUGUGCUGCUUAUAUGAACGAAGGAGGGACGGAGAAGGUUAGGUAGGCCUGGCGAAUGGUUGUCCAGGUGAAAGUAUGUAGGUAGGAAUGCUAGGCAAAUCCGGUGUUCUGUUGAUCUGAGAUACGAGACGAAGUUAAACUUGUUUGACGAAGCUAUUGAUACCAUGCUUCCAGGAAAAGCUUCUAAGUAUAUUGUAUAAGUGACCGUACUGUAAACCGACACUGGUGGGUAGGUAGAGAAUACUAAGGCUAUGAGAUAACUCUGGUGAAGGAACUAGGCAAAAUGACACCGUAACUUUGGAAGAAGGUGUGCCCUUGAUGGUGAUGAGACUUGCUCUUUGAGCUGUUGGGGGUUGCAGAUACCAGGUGGCUGCGACUGUUUAUCAAAAACACAGCACUCUGCGAAAUCGUAAGAUGAAGUAUAGGGUGUGACGCCUGCCCGGUGCUGGAAGGUUAAUUGAAGGGGUUAGCGCAAGCGAAGCUCUGGAUCGAAGCCCCAGUAAACGGCGGCCGUAACUAUAACGGUCCUAAGGUAGCGAAAUUCCUUGUCGGGUAAGUUCCGACCUGCACGAAUGGCGUAACGAUGGCCACACUGUCUCCACCAGAGACUCAGUGAAAUUGAAAUCGCUGUGAAGAUGCAGUGUACCCGCGGUUAGACGGAAAGACCCCGUGAACCUUUACUAUAGCUUUGCACUGGACUUUGAAUAUUUAUGUGUAGGAUAGGUGGGAGACCAUGAAGCAGCUACGCCAGUAGUUGUGGAGUCGUCCUUGAAAUACCACCCUUGAAUAUUUGAAGUUCUAACUCAGGAGAGAUUCGAGGACAGUGUAUGGUGGGUAGUUUGACUGGGGCGGUCUCCUCCUAAAGAGUAACGGAGGAGUACGAAGGUGCACUCGGUACGGUCGGAAAUCGUGCCAAGAGUAUAAAGGCAAAAGUGCGCUUGACUGCGAGAGUGACGGCUCGAGCAGGUACGAAAGUAGGUCUUAGUGAUCCGGUGGUCCCGAAUGGAAGGGUCAUCGCUCAACGGAUAAAAGGUACUCCGGGGAUAACAGGCUAAUUCCUCCCAAGAGUUCAUAUCGACGGAGGAGUUUGGCACCUCGAUGUC